AUGGAGCAGCUGCUGGAGAGCUUUCCGCAGCCCGCGGUGUACGACGCCCUAUCCCUCCUGGAGCAGGUCAAAGCAUGCUUCGCGCCCGAUCCGGACGUCACCGCGGAGUUCCUCGACCUCUUCGCGCGCUUCAGCAGGCGCGAGAUCGUCGACAUCCCCGCCGUCGUGGCCAGGGCGUACGCGCUCCUCCAGGGCCAUCCCGAUCUCAUCCAGCGUUUCGACACCUACAACCCCUUUCUCCGCCGUCCUGCUCAGCACGAAGCCGAGCCCGUCCGCGAUGAUCCGCCCAAGCGGCCUAAGAGGGAGCGCCGCCACCCGGCGGCCGCCUCCGUCGACGCCGACUGUGCCGGGGCCAUGCGGUUCCUCGAGCGGGUGAAGCUGGCGGACGCCGGGCUCUACGACAGGGUCCUCGCGCUGCUCUUCCACGUGAGGGCGGAGGUCAAGCUCGACGCGAAUCAAAUCUACGACCAGGCCCGGAAGAUUUUCGGGUCGGCGCACGGCCAUCUCCUCCGCGGUUUCACGGAGUACCUUCCGACGGGGCGUGACUUUCUGAGGCGUCGCGCGCCCAAGAAGGAGCCGCCGGAAGAGCACCGUGCUCCUGCGCCCAAGCGCAAGGCCCCCGCUGCCGGAACGGCCACGAUCCGAGUCGACGCCGCGUGCAAGAAGAAACCCCGCGUCGACGAACGGAAGACGACCAACCAACGCGCCUCCUCGGCCGUCGAUGCCCCCAAGAGCGGCGACAAAUUCUCCAAGUUUAGGGAGGCGUGGGAGUUCGAGACCACGUACACCAAGCUGGUUGUCACCAUAAGACGCACCAAGAAAGCACUAGAAGAACUCAGGCCAAAGCCAAAGAAGAAAUCACGGGAAGAAGCCGAGCCGGCGAAGGAACCGCCGGAGGAAGUCAAGCCGUCGCCGGGCCACCACGUGCGGGCCGCGUACGUUCGAGGAACUCUACCCCAGCCGCGAGUGCCGGGAGGUUCUCCAGGAGAUGUACGGCGACAUGUUGGCGCCGAUGCGGGAGGCGCUCGAGGACGGCGCGCGCACAGAGCUGGCUCUGAAGACGAUCACGCGCAGGCUGAAGAAGCUGGAGGAGGUGGCCGUGAAGAUCGCGAGGGAGCGGCGGGAUCCCGCCCGCGUUGA
RNAcentral lists this ribosomal RNA (1140 nucleotides) under Triticum aestivum (bread wheat). Its description in RNAcentral is "partial small subunit ribosomal RNA". Lineage: Eukaryota; Viridiplantae; Streptophyta; Magnoliopsida; Poales; Poaceae. The record is from RNAcentral.